CACGUAGGGUGCGAGCGUUGUCCGGAAUUAUUGGGCGUAAAGAGCUCGUAGGCGGUUUUGUUGCGUCGGCUGUGAAAUCCCCGAGGCUCAACCUCGGGUCUGCAGUCGAUACGAGCAAACUAGAGUGUUGCAGGGGAGACUGGAAUUCCUGGUGUAGCGGUGAAAUGCGCAGAUAUCAGGAGGAACACCGGUGGCGAAGGCGGGUCUCUGGACCGUAACUGACGCUGAGAACACGAAAGCCGUGGGUAGCAAACAGG
Molecule: ribosomal RNA, 257 nt
Filed under: uncultured bacterium
Lineage: Bacteria
Description: partial 16S ribosomal RNA
Rfam family: Bacterial small subunit ribosomal RNA
Source: RNAcentral